UGGGAUGUAGCUCAAAGGUAGAGCACCUGCCUAGCACACAUGAAGUUCUGGGUUCAAUUCCCAGUACCAG
Molecule: transfer RNA, 70 nt
Filed under: Mus musculus (house mouse)
Lineage: Eukaryota; Metazoa; Chordata; Mammalia; Rodentia; Muridae
Also listed under: 1 other name
Rfam family: tRNA
About the family: Transfer RNA (tRNA) molecules are approximately 80 nucleotides in length.
Source: Rfam by way of RNAcentral